GACGAACGCUGGCGGCGUGCCUAAUACAUGCAAGUAGAACGCACAGUUUAUACCGUAGCUUGCUACACCAUAGACUGUGAGUUGCGAACGGGUGAGUAACGCGUAGGUAACCUGCCUGGUAGCGGGGGAUAACUAUUGGAAACGAUAGCUAAUACCGCAUAAUAUUGAUUAUUGCAUGAUAAUUAAUUGAAAGGUGCAAUUGCACCACUACCAGAUGGACCUGCGUUGUAUUAGCUAGUAGGUGAGGUAACGGCUCACCUAGGCGACGAUACAUAGCCGACCUGAGAGGGUGGUCGGCCACACUGGGACUGAGACACGGCCCAGACUCCUACGGGAGGCAGCAGGAGGGGAUCUUCGGCAAUGGACGAAAGUCUGACCGAGCAACGCCGCGUGAGUGAAGAAGGUUUUCGGGUCGUAAAGCUCUGUUGUAAGAGAAGAACGGGUGUGAGAGUGGAAAGUUCACGCUGUGACGGUAUCUUACGAGAAAGGGACGGCUAACUACGUG
RNAcentral lists this ribosomal RNA (505 nucleotides) under uncultured bacterium. RNAcentral describes it as "partial 16S ribosomal RNA". It matches the Rfam family "Bacterial small subunit ribosomal RNA", at positions 28 to 507 of the family's 1533-position model. The record is from RNAcentral.